RNAcentral lists this long non-coding RNA (870 nucleotides) under Nicotiana benthamiana. RNAcentral's name for it is "long non-coding RNA (NBEN_LNC006945)". Lineage: Eukaryota; Viridiplantae; Streptophyta; Magnoliopsida; Solanales; Solanaceae. The record is from RNAcentral.
AAUAACGCGCUAGUCACCUUAAGGCAUGUCUGUAAUAAUUUUAUCUCCAUAACCACGGGUGAGCAUUUAUGUGACCCAAGUUCAAAUCCAACCAAGUUAAAUCGUGUCAAUUUCCACAGGUGCAUUUAUGUGACACGGUUUGCGGUACAUUUUGACGGCGUUGCAACUUUCCUUUGAAAAAUAAUAAUGAUAAAGCGAUUAAUAGAUUCAAAAUGCACAUAGGUUCAUAAUUGUAUAAAAUCAGAUAAUUAAAGCCAAAUAUGACAGUUGAGCGACCAUGCUAGAACCACGGAACCCGGGAAUGCCUAACACCUAGUUGGAAGGAGUAAAAAAUCACUGGUGCAUUUAUGUGACAUGGUUCGAGACACGUUUCAAUGACGUUGUAAUUCUCUUUAAAAAUAAUAAUAAAAGUGGUUAAAAGAUUCAAAAUGCACAUAGGUUCGUAUAAAAUCAGAUAAAUUAGGCCAAAUACAACAGUUGAGCGACCGUGCUAGAACCACGGAAACCGGGAAUGCCUAACACCUUCUCCCGGGUUAAUAGAAUUCCUUACUCGGAUUUUUGGAUCGCGGACUGUUAAAAAAAGUCAUUCUUUCCUCGAUUUGGGAUUCUAAACGGUGACUUGGGACACCAUAAAUCUCCCAAGUGGCGACUCUGAAUUCUCUUAAAUAAUUGAAUCUCAUUUCGAUUGUCUUUUAAUUAGAAAAACUCUCUUAUCUACGCCCUUCGCCGGGUUGUAGCAGCCAAAAUGAGGUGUGACACCGGCGAGACCACCUCGGUCACUUGAUGUGUCAUAUGAAUGACAUUGUCGUGCAAUGCUCAAAGGGUCAAAGAUUCCCAUGUCAACCUAGCCUGAGAUGGUGCCCGAUCUCG